RNAcentral lists this ribosomal RNA (447 nucleotides) under uncultured bacterium. Its description in RNAcentral is "SSU rRNA". It matches the Rfam family "Bacterial small subunit ribosomal RNA", at positions 26 to 518 of the family's 1533-position model. The record is from RNAcentral.
AGAGCGAACGCUGGCGGCAGGCCUAACACAUGCAAGUCGAGCGGCCGUAGCAAUACGGCAGCGGCAGACGGGAUAGUAACACGUGGGAACGCGCCCUUCGGUUCGGAAUAACUCAGGGAAACUUGAGCUAAUACCGGAUACGCCCUUACGGGGAAAGAUUUAUUGCCGAAGGAACGGCCCGCGUCCGAUUAGCUAGUUGGUGAGGUAAUGGCUCACCAAGGCUACGAUCGGUAGCUGGUCUGAGAGGAUGACCAGCAUCACUGGGACUGAGACACGGCCCAGACUCCUACGGGAGGCAGCAGUGGGGAAUAUUGGACAAUGGGGGAAACCCUGAUCCAGCGAUGCCGCGUGAGUGAUGAAGGCCUUCGGGUUGUAAAACUCUUUCGACGGGACGAUAAUGACGGUACCCGUAGAAGAAGCUCCGGCUAACUUCGUGCCAGCAGCCGC